RNAcentral lists this ribosomal RNA (460 nucleotides) under Selenomonas sp. oral taxon 479. Its description in RNAcentral is "bacterial SSU rRNA". It matches the Rfam family "Bacterial small subunit ribosomal RNA", at positions 28 to 465 of the family's 1533-position model. The record is from RNAcentral. Lineage: Bacteria; Bacillati; Bacillota; Negativicutes; Selenomonadales; Selenomonadaceae.
GACGAACGCUGGCGGCGUGCUUAACACAUGCAAGUCGAACGGAGCGAAUGAAAGCUUGCUUUUAUGAGCUUAGUGGCAAACGGGUGAGUAACACGUAGACAACCUGCCGACAGGAUGGGGACAACAUUCCGAAAGGAAUGCUAAUACCGAAUGAAGUCGAGGGAGGGCAUCCUCCUUCGAUGAAAGAUGGCCUCUGAAUAUGCUAUCACCUGUUGAUGGGUCUGCGUCUGAUUAGCUGGUUGGUGAGGUAACGGCUCACCAAGGCGACGAUCAGUAGCCGGUCUGAGAGGAUGAACGGCCACAUUGGGACUGAGACACGGCCCAGACUCCUACGGGAGGCAGCAGUGGGGAAUCUUCCGCAAUGGGCGCAAGCCUGACGGAGCAACGCCGCGUGAGUGAAGAAGGUCUUCGGAUCGUAAAGCUCUGUUGAUGGGGACGAACGUGCGAAGGGUGAAUAAUC